AUGGCGGAGCAGCAGCAAGACGAAGUGGGGCCGGCGUCGGUCUUAGCGUGGAGCAAGGGAAGCAGAGCUUCUGGAGGCUGGAGAGGCCAUGGACGUCGGGCGCGCGAUGCCACCGGGAGGAGGCGAGACCUCUGGCGCGUGGAGAGGGUCGUGGUCGGGCUCGACCACGUCAAGGAGGCCGUGGCGGAGCGAGCGGGAGGCGCUGGACGCGGGCACACACGCGCCCAGCGGGGCACGCGGGAGGCAGGAGGCGAGGCAAGGCGACACGACGGUGAAGGGGCAUGGCUCCGGCGGCGCCGGGAACAGCGAAGACGGCGAAUCCAGUCGGCCGGCGCCCGAAGCAAACGGAGCUCGGGGCGGAGGAGCUUGGGCGCGGGACGGCGGCCUGGUGGCGUGGGCGCUCCUGCGGGCAUUCAUGGCGGCGGCGGAGAGGCGCGACGGGCGGCGGCCGUUGCCAGAGGCGGGGAGGCCGGCUCGAGGAGGAGGGACGACGCUCGGCAGCGGGGCCAGCAGCAGGCAACCGCGGGAGGCCGAGGCCGGUGGAGGUGCGGCGCAGGGCGGCGACGCAAGGCAGCUUCAGGCGAUGCAGCGGGGCGACGGGGAUGGACGGCGCCGGUGCAGAAGAGGAAGAAGGGUGGCGUCACUGGCAGGGGAGGCGCGCCAUGGGGAUCGAGCGCGAGCGCUCCUCCUGGCGCUAGCGAUGUGCGUGCGUGUGUGAGUGGCGGCGGAGGGGAAACGAGAGGAAGAGGAGGAGAUCGGGUGAGGGCAUCGGGCUAG
This 777-nucleotide ribosomal RNA is filed under the name Triticum aestivum (bread wheat). RNAcentral describes it as "partial small subunit ribosomal RNA". The record is from RNAcentral. Lineage: Eukaryota; Viridiplantae; Streptophyta; Magnoliopsida; Poales; Poaceae.